UUGAGCAAUGUUUUAAUGCA
Molecule: microRNA, 20 nt
Filed under: Strongyloides ratti
Lineage: Eukaryota; Metazoa; Nematoda; Chromadorea; Rhabditida; Strongyloididae
Description: str-miR-87b-3p
Gene: str-miR-87b-3p
Source: miRBase by way of RNAcentral